Molecule: long non-coding RNA, 1748 nt
Filed under: Calidris pugnax (ruff)
Lineage: Eukaryota; Metazoa; Chordata; Aves; Charadriiformes; Scolopacidae
Description: lncRNA (ENSCPUG00000005664.1)
Source: RNAcentral
CCAGGACUACGUUUCCCAGCGGCUCCUCCGGGGGGCUGCACAUGCUCGGUGCGGCUCCCGGCGACUCCCGGCAGCUCCCGGCGCGGCGCCCGGUGCGGCUCCCGGCGGAGCUCCCGGUGCAGCUCCCGGCGAUUCCCGGUGCAGCUCCCGGCGGAGCUCCCGGCGACUCCCGGUGCAGCUCCCGGUGCGGCUCCCGGUGAAGCUCCCGGUGCAGCUCCCGGUGCGGCUCCCGGUGCGGCUCCCGGUGCAGCUCCCGGUGCGGCUCCCGGUGAAGCUCCCGGUGCAGCUCCCGGUGCGGCUCCCGGUGCGGCUCCCGGUGCGCCCUCGGGAGCGCACGACCGAGCCCCGGGGCUGAGCCCUGCCCAUCCCAGCCUCACCACCGGCCCCGGGGCCGAGCUUUUCCCCGGCACCCACCCUCACCACCCCCACGGGCAGCAUGCCCCGCGGGCGAGCGUGGACGCAGGCGGAGGUCAGCAGCCUCCUGGCGCUGGUGGAGGGCUCGGGGGAGGCCGCCUUGCUCAUGGCCUCCACGUCGAGGCCCAACGAGGCACUGUGGCGGGAGAUCUCCCAAGGGCUGGCGGCGGCUGGCUACGGGCGCAGCGUGGCCCAGUGCCGCUCCAAGUGGAAGGCCCUCAAGCAGGCUUUCCACUCGGAGCGGGAGACGCGCCGGAGGGCCGGCUGCCACUCGCCCCGGCUGCCCCCGCACUACCAAGCCAUGAAGAGCAUCUGGAAGGCGGCCGGGAGGCCCGUCUUUGGCGAGCGGAGGAUGCCAGACCUGGUGAGACAGCCCUCCAGGAAGCGCAGGUCAGCCCUUGCCGCCCGCUCUCCGUCCUCACCAGGGCCACCAGGGCACGAUGAUGGCAAGGACGCCCCGGGUGUGCUGCUGUCCCCAUUGCUGCAGCGUGCGAAGGAUGAGCCAGACAGCCCAGCCGGUGGUGGGGAACACAUCGCUGGAGUGCUGCCCACUCCCCCUGCUGUGCCACGCUGUCACACCACCCUGAAGCAGGAGAGAGCUGAGCAAAAGGCUGCAGGUUUUCCUGGUGAGACGUCCCUGGGGAUAGGAAGAAGAAACCAAGUGCUGCCAGUGGCCACCGCAGCCCUGGGCUCCCCUGGGAUGGCUGCCAUGAGUGAGCAGCCGGCAACGAGUGAAGAGGCGUUGGACGCAAGCCUGCAUGGUGGGUCCUCCCUGCAGCAUCCCGGGAGCCUCGUGGUGGGUUCUCGGAGGAGUGCUGGGGGUUUGCUACCACUGACCCCUCCCCUGCCUCUCACUGCAGGCUCAGGUGUGCCAGGCUUGCUCCAGAACGUCCAGCAGCUGCUGGUGCAGAUCCUACAGACGUCACGGCAGCAGCAGGCGCUGCUGGAGAGCCUGGCCAGUGAUACCGUCUCCCACCUUAACUUCCUCUCCCACAGCCUGGUGCAGGUGGGUGAGACCCUGCACCAGCUCCUGCUCCGGCCACAGACCUACUUCAGCCCCUUUGUCCACUACAGUCCCCACGUGCCCAUUUUUGAGGGUGGCCCUGGGGUGCCCUGUUCCGCCGGCUCUCCCCGCGCCUCCCCGGAUCACAAAGAGGAGCCUCAGGUGUCCCCUGCCUCUGGCUGCACCCCGUGAGUGCCACCACCCUCAGCCCCAGGGGCACCAGCUUCACUAUGCAGCCACAGCACAGAUCUUUAUAGCAGAGGCCCUGGAUAUUUUGGAAGUUUAUAGAAGAGAGACAUUUAAAUAAAAUUAAAAAUAGCUUUUUCUACCA